GACAGAAUUCAUUAUUCAGCAAACGCAACGCAAAACACAAUCUCUGUCCUGACACUACUCCCCAUGUUGGCGUAUUCUUCGGAGGGAGGCGCAGCAGCCCACUCUACUAUGAAGAAGAAGAAGACAUGCACCACCGCCACUCUCGCUAUCGUGCGCCUCUUUUUCCUCUUUCCCCUCUUCUUCUUCUUCUUCAAUGGCGAUUCUCAGCUUCUCGAAUCGCCGUGCUCCGCCGCCACCGACUGUGGUCCCGGUCUGUACUGUGGGAAUUGCCCUGCUAUUGGGAAAGAUCAGCCUUUCUGCAUCAGAGGCCAAGCUACAAUUCCAUCUUCAAUUAUUAGCGGGAUGCCUUUUAACAAGUACACAUGGCUCGUGACUCACAACGCAUUCUCCAUUGUCGACGCGCCGCUGCUCACCGGCGCUCAGAGAAUCACUUUCUACAACCAAGAAGACUCCGUCACAAAUCAAUUGAGGAAUGGAGUGCGGGGAUUGAUGCUGGAUAUGUACGAUUUCGAGAACGACAUAUGGCUCUGCCAUUCGUUUCGCGGCCAAUGCUACAACUACACCGCAUUCGAGCCUGUAAUCAAUACACUGAGAGAAGUGGAAGCGUUCUUGGCUCAAAACCCCUCGGAAAUUAUCACAAUCAUAAUCGAGGAUUAUGUCCACACACCAAAAGGACUGACGAGAGUCUUCACCGAUGCUGGCUUAGACAAGUACAUGUAUCCACUUGCCAAAAUGCCGAAGAAAGGCGAAGACUGGCCCACCAUUAACAAGAUGGUGCAGAAUAAUUAUCGCUUACUUGUUUUCACUUCCGAUUCUUCGAAAGAGGCGGCCGAAGGCAUUGCGUAUCAGUGGAAGUACAUGGUGGAAAAUGAGUCUGGAGAUCCAGGGGUGGUGCCUGGUUCAUGUCCGAAUAGAAAGGAAUCGAAGGCGCUUAAUUCAAGAAGUGCAUCUUUAUUUAUGAUGAAUUAUUUUCCUACAAUUCCAGUUCAAAGCGAAGCUUGCAAAGAGCAUUCUGUGCCGCUUGCUGAUAUGGUGGCCACGUGUUAUAAAUCUGCCGGAAAUUUGAUACCGAAUUUUCUAGCAGUGAAUUUUUACAUGAGAAGUGAUGGAGGAGGUGUUUUUGAUGUGUUGGAUCGAAUGAAUGGGCAGCGACUGUGUGGGUGUAGUACUGUCUCUGCUUGCCAGGCAGGAGAACCCUUUGGAAAAUGCAAGGCAAUCACAGUAUAUAACAUGACUUCCACCACAACUCCCGGAAAUUCCGGAAGCUUCUCCGGGUCCGUUCAGUUAACCGGAGAUGCUUCAAGACUCAAUAAUUUUCCCGCCAUUUUUGCUCUGUUAUUAUUAUCUUUUUUCGUCACCUUUUAUACUAUGUUGCAAUGAGAAUUGAUAUUAUGUAAACAUCCAAUCAGCCCUUGUAAUGUUUGCAGUCUCUAAAGUUUUGGAUUUAGAAUAGGUUUCUGCGUAUAUUUGCUAUAUGUAACAAGUUACUAUCUUAAAACAGAGAUUGACUAAAGAGAAACGAAAGAGAAAGAGGCCAAUUCUUGUGCAAUGCAGGAUCAUUGGUAUCUCGAAAGAUGUUUCUCUCCUUGUCGAUUUUUUUCGUACAUUAUGGCUCGUUUAAUUAAAUAUAACUGUUUUUUUUCUUUUC
Non-coding RNA from Erythranthe guttata (spotted monkey flower), 1648 nucleotides. The record is from RefSeq and is a predicted model, not a curated record. NCBI's taxonomy places the organism in Eukaryota, Viridiplantae, Streptophyta, Magnoliopsida, Lamiales, Phrymaceae.